AUUGAUUAAGCUAGAAAGAGCUUAUGGUGGAUGCCUAGGCAUUCAGAGUUGAAGAAGGACGCGACCGGCUGCGAAAAGCCGUGGGGAGCUGCUAAAUAAGCGUAGAUCCGCGGAUAUCCGAAUGGGGAAACCCACCAGUGUGGAGCACUGGUAUUAUGUGGUGAAAGAAGUAGCCAUGUAAGAACAAGCAGGAGAACUGAAACAUCUUAGUACCCUGAGGAAAAGAAAUCAAAACGAGAUUCCCUUAGUAGCGGCGAGCGAAAGGGGAGAAGUCCAAACACAUUAAGUGUAAAUCUGUAGAUGUUGCUUAAUGUGGGUGUAGGAUAUAACGACUAAAAGCUACAGCUUUUAGCUGACUUAAAUUUUUUACCCAGUCGAAUGAGCUGGAAAGCUCAACCAGAGGAGGUAAUAGUCCUGUAGACGAAAGGUAGAAGAAGUCAGGGAUAUAUCCAGAGUAUCACGGGCCACGAGAAACCCUGUGAGAAUAUGGGAGGACCACCUUCCAAGACUAAAUACUCCUGAAUGACCGAUAGUGAACAAGUACCGUGAGGGAAAGGUGAAAAGAACCCCGGGAGGGGAGUGAAAUAGAAACUGAAACCGUAAGCUUACAACAAGUAGGAGGGCUAUUAGAAAGCCUGACUGCGUACUUUUUGUAUCACGGACCGGCGAGUUACUAAUCGUAGCGAAAGGUUAAGUCAUAGAGAUGAAGCCAGAGCGAAAGCGAGUCUGAUAAGGGCGGAAGUUAUGAUUAGUAGACCCGAAACCGAGUGAUCUAUCCAUGACCAGGGUGAAGCGGGUGUAAGAGCCUGUGGAGGCCCGAACCCACUUAUGUUGAAAAAUGAGGGGAUGAGUUGUGGAUAGGGGUGAAAGGCCAAUCGAACUCGGAGAUAGCUGGUUCUCCUCGAAAUAGCUUUAGGGCUAGCCUCGAUGUAAAAGUUAAAUGGUUGUAGAGCACUGAUUGGACAAGGGGCCCAACAAGGUUACCAAAUCCAUUCAAACUCCGAAUGCCGUUUAAUGUUCAUCGGGAGUCAGACUAUGUGGGAUAAGCUUCAUAGUCGAAAGGGAAAGAGCCCAGACCACCAGAUAAGGUCCCAAAGUAUAUGCUAAGUGGAAAAGGAAGUGAGAUCGCACAGACAACCAGGAUGUUGGCUUAGAAGCAGCCACUCAUUUAAAGAGUGCGUAAUAGCUCACUGGUUAAGCGGUUUUGCGCCGAAAAUGUAACGGGGCUAAAGCAUAUCACCGAAGCUGUGGAUUCUGGAGGUUGGAGGUUAGAGGUUGGAAGUUAGUUAAAGAUGGUGAAAAAAUGAUCAAAAGCUAUAAAGAUUUAAAAGUAUAUAAAAAAAGUUAUAGCCUUGCAUUAGAAAUACAUCAACUAACUCAACAUCUACCAAAGACUGAGAGAUAUGAAUUAGGAAGUCAAAUGAGAAGAGCGGCAAUUUCAAUACCAUCAAAUAUAGCAGAAGGUUAUGGCAAAAAAAGAUCUACUGCAGAAUUUAAGAGAUUUUUAUUAAUGAGUUUAGGAUCCUGUAAUGAGUUGCAGGUGCAAAUAAACUUAUGUAAAGAUUUAGGGUAUAUCGAAGAUGAAAAAGCUGAUAAACUUCUUGAAAGAUAUGAUAUAUUGGGAAGACAACUAAACACUAUGAUAGAUAAAUGGUUUUGAACUUUCCAACUUCCAAUUUCUAAUCUCCAACUUCUAGAGUGGUAGAGGAGCAUUGUGUACGGAGUGAAGCUGUACCGUAAGGAGCAGUGGACUGUACAGAAGAGAGAAUGCCGGUAUGAGUAACGAAAAAAGGAGUGAGAAUCUCCUUCGCCGAAAGUCUAAGGAUUCCUGAGGAAGGCUCGUCCUCUCAGGGUUAGUCGGGACCUAAGCUGAGGCCGAAAGGCGUAGGUGAUGGAAAAUCUGUAAAGAUUCAGAUACCACUGUAAAUUGAUUGAGUGAAGUGGGGACGCGGCAAAGAGAGUGGAGCGUGUGACUGGAAGAGCACGUAUAAGCUGAGGAGUUAGGGUAAGGAGGCAAAUCCCUUUACCCGCUAAUAACUUUUAGUGAUGUGGAGCCAAAAGAGGCGAAGCCACUUAAUGAGUCGCCAAGAAAAACCACUAACGAGAUUUACAGUGCCCGUACCGCAAACCGACACAGGUAGACGGGAAGAGAAUUCUAAGGCGCGCGAGAGAACCCUUGUUAAGGAACUCGGCAAAAUGACCCCGUAACUUCGGGAGAAGGGGUACCCAUUAGGAAUACCUAGUGGGUUGCAGUGAAAAGAUCCAAGCGACUGUUUAUCAAAAACACAGGUCUCUGCUAAGUCGUAAGACGAAGUAUAGGGGCUGACGCCUGCCCGGUGCUGGAAGGUCAAGGAGAAGGCUUAGUGCUUAUGCACGAAGGUCUGAACCUAAGCCCCAGUAAACGGCGGCCGUAACUAUAACGGUCCUAAGGUAGCGAAAUUCCUUGUCGGGUAAGUUCCGACCUGCACGAAUGGCGUAACGACUUGGAUGCUGUCUCAACAAGGGACUCGGUGAAAUUAAAUUGCCUGUGAAGAUGCAGGCUACCUGCGACAGGACGGAAAGACCCCGUGGAGCUUUACUGCAGCCUGAUAUUGGGUUUUGAUGUAGAAUGUACAGGAUAGGUGGGAGACUUUGAAGCUGGCAUGCUAAUGUCAGUGGAGUCGCUGGUGGGAUACCACCCUUUCUACAGCGGAAUUCUAACUGGAGGCCAUAAACUGGUCACAGGACAUUGUCAGGCGGGCAGUUUGACUGGGGCGGUCGCCUCCCAAACAGUAACGGAGGCGCUCAAAGGUUCCCUCAGUGCGGAUGGAAAUCGCACGAAGAGUGUAAAGGCAGAAGGGAGCUUAACUGCAAGACAGACAAGUCGAGCAGGUACGAAAGUAGGACUUAGUGAUCCGGCGGUAUAGUGUGGAAUUGCCGUCGCUCAACGGAUAAAAGUUACCCCGGGGAUAACAGGCUUAUCUCCCCCAAGAGUUCACAUCGACGGGGAGGUUUGGCACCUCGAUGUCGGCUCAUCGCAUCCUGGAGCUGAAGCAGGUUCCAAGGGUUUGGCUGUUCGCCAAUUAAAGCGGUACGCGAGCUGGGUUCAGAACGUCGUGAGACAGUUCGGUCCCUAUCCGUCGCAGGCGGAAGAUACUUGAGAAGAGCUGUCCCCAGUACGAGAGGACCGGGAUGGACACACCGAUGGUGAAUCAGUUGUUCCACCAGGAGCAUAGCUGAGUAGCUAAGUGUGGAAAAGAUAAGCGCUGAAAGCAUCUAAGCGUGAAACAGACUUCAAGAUUAGGUAUCUCACUUUGUUAAGAAGGUAAGAUCCCUUAAAGAUGAUAAGGUAGAUAGGCCAGAGGUGUAAGUGUAGUAAUACAUUAAGCUAACUGGUACUAAUAGAUCGAGGGCUUAAUCAUU
RNAcentral lists this ribosomal RNA (3402 nucleotides) under Halanaerobium sp. ST460_2HS_T2. RNAcentral describes it as "bacterial LSU rRNA". It matches the Rfam family "Bacterial large subunit ribosomal RNA". Lineage: Bacteria; Bacillati; Bacillota; Clostridia; Halanaerobiales; Halanaerobiaceae. The record is from RNAcentral.